Non-coding RNA from Pilatotrama ljubarskyi, 84 nucleotides. The record is from the annotation of a GenBank genome assembly. Lineage: Eukaryota; Fungi; Basidiomycota; Agaricomycetes; Polyporales; Polyporaceae.
GGCCCAAUGGUCUAGUAGUAUGAUUCGCGCUUCGGGACUUGUCUGGUUUGCGCGAGGUCCCGGGUUCAAUUCCCGGUUGGGCCC